This 542-nucleotide long non-coding RNA is filed under the name Theobroma cacao (cacao). RNAcentral's name for it is "long non-coding RNA (TCAC_LNC001255)". The record is from RNAcentral. Lineage: Eukaryota; Viridiplantae; Streptophyta; Magnoliopsida; Malvales; Malvaceae.
UUAAAUCGACUCUAACUUCCACUAAUGGUCCGAAUGGGGAUGUGGAGUCUCGUUGGAACCUAUGACACAUAGUAGCAUCACAAAUCAACUCAAUUCACAUAACCAUAAUUCUAAAAACUAUUUCCUAAAUCAUGUUCUACUAUUUAUUCCUAGCUAGCUUCUAACUACCAUUAAGUGGCUAUCUAUUUUCACUAUUCUAGUCACACUAAAAUGAAUAAACUACCUUAACUACAAAAAACUCACAAAUCUAACGACUAGCCAUUCUCAACAACUUAAAAAUCAACUCAAUUUCAUUACUCACCUUGGUAGCUUUGUAAUUGAACUCCUUCUCAAAAGUCCUCAAGCUAGUAUAGGAAGUCUCUCUUUCUCUCUCUAAACAUCUAGCUAGUGAGAGGAAGUAUCAAAAUAAGACUUUUGAGGGUUUUCAAGGUGAAAGAGUAAAAGAGCACAAAGGACUUUGUGAAAAGGUGCACAAAAGCAUGAAAAUUGGGGUUAACUUGAGAAAAUUUAUGGAGGUUUCAAAGCAAGCUUCCAUGAAAGGU